UGAGGGAUAUUGGUCAAUGGGCGCAAGCCUGAACCAGCGACGCCGCGUGGGUGAAGAAGGUCUUCGGAUCGUAAAGCCCUUUUCCCACUGAAGAGGAAGGACGGUAGGUGGGGAAGAAGUCUCGGCUAACUACGUGCCAGCAGCCGCGGUAAAACGUAGGAGACAAGCGUUAUCCGGAGUUACUGGGCGUAAAGGGCGUGCAGGUGGCGUCUUAAGUCUGUUGUGAAAGCGCCUGGCUUAACCGGGCGAGGCCAAUGGAGACUGAGAGGCUGGAGGACGGCGGAGGGGUGUGGAAUUCCGGGUGUAGUGGUGAAAUGCGUAGAGAUCCGGAGGAACACCAGAGGCGAAGGCGGCACUCUAAGCCGUACCUGACACUGAGACGCGACAGCACGGGGAGCAAAC
This 402-nucleotide ribosomal RNA is filed under the name uncultured bacterium. Its description in RNAcentral is "bacterial SSU rRNA". It matches the Rfam family "Bacterial small subunit ribosomal RNA", at positions 355 to 773 of the family's 1533-position model. The record is from RNAcentral.